RNAcentral lists this long non-coding RNA (18761 nucleotides) under Ananas comosus (pineapple). Its description in RNAcentral is "long non-coding RNA (ACOM_LNC014794)". Lineage: Eukaryota; Viridiplantae; Streptophyta; Magnoliopsida; Poales; Bromeliaceae. The record is from RNAcentral.
AUAGUCCUAGGUCCAAGAUCUCACUUUUCAUCUGACCAAAAGAUCCAACUGACAAUACCAAAUAAGCUAGACAAUUUUGUCUCCUCAAACUUAAUCCGGUACCAACAGAUCACCAAAUGUUCUUGCAAGUCCAUCACUUGAUGCACAAGUCGCCAAUCGCACCAUGCGAUACCAACCAUCGGUGAUACCCAACACCUGUCUCCACAAGACCCUGUCGCUGUCGUCCUACCAUGGACCCUAGCGAUCGAUGUCCCGAGCAAUACCAAAUGCCUGUCUCAUUGAGACCUAGGCGCCCCUGUCAUCAAAUGACCGGACAAGCAUGCUAACCCAAGGUUUGCACGAUAAGCCAAGUCGCAAACCUUAUUCGCUAUCACAUAUGGUGACAAUCAAAGCCGACAACCAGGCUCAAGUCACUCUACAAUUGUGAUUCCAAAUCUCACGACGACAAACCAAGACUACUAACCGAACAAACUUUUAAACUGUGGGAAGCACAACUAAAGAGCUACGAACACCCAGACUCGAACUAGAGUCAAAACCCUUUUAUCAGUGACGAUAAGUCCACUGUGCAAAGCCUGCCAAGGAAUAACCCAAGUCUCGCUACGUAGUCAAAGAUGACUAUCACUCGAGCUUUUCCCACAAAACAGUCUAGAGAACACAUCGACCCAAUCCAGAAGUCCCAAACAGGGUAAAUGGUAUUUCGUCCCUCUUUCGACAGUAUAUUGUCUGCAGCCAAUAUACUUAUCAAAAGAAAAGCGAAAUAUCCGAAAAUCCACUACCAACAACGAGUUGGAAGUGUGACACGUCGAAGUAUCAAGCCACCUGAUACCUCUUCACUGAACCAGAAGCUCACAACCAAUACUAUCGAAACAUCGACUUUACAAGUCGACAUUCGAAAUUAGAAUGACCCUGGAAUAUCUCGAAUCUAGACGAAACCUAUUACCAACUACAACUAACCCACAACACACCAAUUUAGGUGUUAGAAUAAUCGCAUACGAUGUAUGCCUUAACGAAAACUUGACACCAAUCUGUGUCAAUCUGACCCUAGUAGGAAGAAUGAACGAGGUAAAGGUCGAAAGAUCCGAACCGCUGAUUCCAAUCAGCAAUCAAGGAGGAUAGGUAGGCAUCGCAACCCUACCCAAAGGUCUGCGGAAGCAACACUAACAAUGCAGUCGCUGAAACGACCGCUAUCCAAACCCUGGGCUACACCCUAGUAGCCCCACUGAAGUCGCGACCAUAACUGGUCCAAGCACCGUCUCCGUAGAGACACUCGCAACAGCUCUCGUGUCCUAAGUAGAGAGAGUGGCCUGGGCGUCGGCAAUUAUGACACUCGCCUAGGCCCGAAGAUCACCUAGCCCUUCAAGGCCCACCUGACAGGAGUGGCAACAUCUGGGGAACGUCGCCCUACCACUCGAUGUCCGAAUAAGUACACCGCCACUACUCCCGAUUUAGACACCAGCUUGUGCGAAUCGUAACACAUACAGAAACCAUGCACUUCGAGUUUACCGACUCGAAUGCAAUCCUGGACACAAGUCCAAACCCCGCACUCACGUGCCUAUACACCGUAGGUCUUCCUAAGGAUCAACCUAACCAAUGGUUCAGUUUCUUUGGUUCAGUUCAUUUACUUUUCAAAACAACCUGUGAAUGGUGUUGUGGUUGUAACCUGGCUCUGAUACCACUUUAAUCUGUCACGCCCCGGGGUCCUUUUAUUUGUUCAAAAGCACAGCGGAAAAUUAGCUAUAAAUUUUUUUUUGAAAACCUGACCCCAGAGUGCCAGAUCCGCCACAAACACAGGGAAUCCACUGUUCCCACGGACAGAAUCUCCCCUGUAUUUGCACGGCGUCGCACAAGUACAACAGAGUAUAGAUACACACACAACCACAACCAGAUGAACAAGAGAGAUAACAUUCAUCCAUUCCAUUCACACACACAGAUAUGAUACUUGAGUUAUGAAAACAUUCCACAUCUAUCAGUUAAAAUGUUUCCUACCUGGAAACUGAUUUUGAAAUACUAAAUCCAUAAAAACCACAGAAAAUUUAAUUUGAAAACUGUUCCCCACACGGGAACCAUUCUUUUUCAAAACCAGCUACCACGAGGGGUAGAAAACUGUUUUAUUUCGAGAAAACACCAAUCUUUUAGUUCAUUCCAAAACCCGUUGAAAAUCCAGAUAAUAAAACAGAACUGAACCAUGUAAACCGACUAAGCUAUAUAUAUCAUCAGAAGUAAUAAAGGGUAAUAGCUAAAUCGAAAUAACCUGGGUCGGAAGCUCUAUCGACCGCUACACACGUACCUCACGUCUCGUCCCACUACUCAUCGCCUGCGAUACCUGAAAAAUGGUGGGGGAGGUGAGACGGCGGCCGGAGGAGGUCGGGACGGGGACGAACCGGCGGCGGAGGUCGAGGGUAAGGCGGCGCACCCCUCGGUGGGCGGCGGCGAAACGUGGAAGCCGAGCGGGCCCAACCUCGGCCCGCACAGGUCUGGGCGGCCGCAGGUUGUCCCAGCGGCGGCCGGCGGCGCGCGGGGACGGCGGGGGAACGAGCGCGCCGGGUUGCCGGAGGUUGCCGGGGCCGACAGGAGGGCGGCGCGGCCGAGGGGAGGCGUCGGCGGCUCGGGGAUACCGAGAUCACCCAGGCUCGGCCUGGGUGACGCAGGUGGCCGCAGGGAGCCUGGACGGCGGCCGGCGGCGCGCGGGGACGACGGGGGACGGCGGGGAAGGGCGCCGGAGCUUGGUCUCGGCCUGGGGGAGAUGGUGCUCGGGCUUUGACGUUCCCCCGAGCACAACGAUCGAAGACGCGGCUUGUCCGGGCUAGAGGGGAAUCGAGAGAUGACCGGGGUGCCUUUUUCGGCGGCCGGAGCUGCUCGUCGGCGGCUGGGGCGUGCGCACUGAUUGGGCAGGGAGGAGACGGGGCGGCUAGGGUUAGUCAGGUGAUUAUGGCAGCCAAAAGAAUAAUGGGAAACCCUAGAUGCCCGAUUUAUGCCAAGUGUCACUUUGCGAGGAACCCCUCCAAAGUCUAUUAUUUACAAUCCAGCCCCCUGCCAGCAAGUGAAUUAUGCACACAAGACCCUCCACAUUCGAUAUCACGUGAAAUGACACAUAAAAUAUAGGGUCUUUCCGCGAUUUAUCCGUUUAGCCGCUUUGACCCCUCAGCGAACAUUUGCAAUAUCCGGCAAUCCGUUCAUCGGAUUUCCGAACGGAUCGCACCAUCGCGUUCAGCACAACGAGGGCAUCCAAACUACCAUCUUGUUUCGUCAGAUUUGGUCACGGAUUCGCGACGGAACCCAUCCGCUCUCUAAUUAAUCCGUAUAUCGCACAUAUACCCAAGCAUAAACUCUAAAACCUUUAAUUCAAAUUCAAAUUUGAAUUCCCUACCACCAGUAGGUAUCAGAAACAACUCUCACCUAACCCCAGGUCACAAGCACAGAGCACGCGGAGCUUUAAAACGCACGAAUAGCAAAGAGCGGGAACCCUCUUUUUGAUAAAAUCCCUUUUUCUCGAUAACCGUGCAUCAGAAUCCGAUUCUGUCAGCGCCAAUGGUUCCAGUAUAGUCGAGAGGUUCGAAACGAGCUAUUGGACCACUAUGUUCGGAGGUCUGUACGCGCCAGAGGCCAAGUUUGCUUCGUGGCUUCUCCGGAAAACCGGAGUUACUAUUCACUUAAGUCGAACUUCCGGGUCUCAUAACUUCUCCACUUUAGCUCGGUUUUGCCUGAAAUUUGACGUGUGCUUAUGUAAUUAAAUUACACACAUAAACAUCGUCAACAGAGAGUCUAAUUGCACUGUCAAAAUCUCAGUCCUUACAUUAUCCCCCCCUUAAAAGAAGUUUCGUCCCCGAAACUUAACUACAUACCCACCGAACUCCGACUAUCCAACAACGUCAACCUGCUCACCAAGAGUGAAUACGAAACGUUGUUCUAAAAUCCAAGUCAACGUCACUCACAUCGGAGACCACGAGUAACCACACAAACUACCAAACCUUCAACAAAGGAUAGUCACUUACGACACUCUAUAGUCCUAGGUCCAAGAUCUCACUUUUCAUCUGACCAAAAGAUCCAACUGACAAUACCAAAUAAGCUAGACAAUUUUGUCUCCUCAAACUUAAUCCGGUACCAACAGAUCACCAAAUGUUCUUGCAAGUCCAUCACUUGAUGCACAAGUCGCCAAUCGCACCAUGCGAUACCAACCAUCGGUGAUACCCAACACCUGUCUCCACAAGACCCUGUCGCUGUCGUCCUACCAUGGACCCUAGCGAUCGAUGUCCCGAGCAAUACCAAAUGCCUGUCUCAUUGAGACCUAGGCGCCCCUGUCAUCAAAUGACCGGACAAGCAUGCUAACCCAAGGUUUGCACGAUAAGCCAANGCUUCUCCGGAAAAUCGAGUUACUAUUCACUUUAAGUAAAACUUGGAAAUCGCGUAGAAUUUUCGUUUUAACUCGUUUUCGCCCGAAACUUGACGAGUGCUUUUGUAAUUAAAAUACACAUAAAAACAUCGUCAACUGAGAGUUUAGCUACACUGCAAAAAUCUCAGUCCUUACAGUGAUUAAGAACAUCCCCUGUUGCUAUUGCCUCCCCAAUUCCUUCCGUUCAAACACACACUGACGCACCCAGGCAAGAAAAAGAACAAGUUAAAAAGAAAGUAGAGGGGUACAGAAAAGGAGAAAAAGAGAAGAGGGAGAACUGGAAAAAAAAAAUCAUCAUUUAACAGAAUGUCUAUAAAAGAUAUUGUCACUCGGAAUAUUAUGCUAGCUCACUUCAGUAAAAUACGGGAGAUGGAGAGCGUGCGAGAGGUGUUCAAUAUAAUGCCUGAGAGAAGCGUGAGGUCGUGGACAGCCAUAAUCACCAGGUGCAUUCGGCUUUUCCUUACAAAAAAAAAAAAAUUAUAUAUAUAAAGAAGAGGAUUAAUAAUUUCAUCUAAGAAAAAUACGUUUAUAUUUUCUAUUGUUCUUGAAAAUGAAUGAAAUAUAAGUUUUCGAUCAACACAGAUGUACAUUGCCUGAGUACUAAAGAAAAGUCUACAACAAAACUUGAGCAAACUUUUAAUUAAGCUUCAGUACUAUAUACAUAAAUCAAUUGUGCUUCUGCUUAUUUGACCGUUCUUAACGAUAAAAAAAAAAAAAACUAUUUGUUUAGUACGAGGAUGUACAUUGCCUAAGUAUUAAAGAAUAGUCUACAAUAAAACUUGAGCAAACUUUUAAUUAAGCCUCGGUACUACAUACAUAAAUCAAUUGUGCUUCUCCUUAUUUGACCGUUCUUAACGAUUAAAAAAAACUAUUUGUUUAGUAAGAUGACUAUAAUACUUGCACAAUGAUUCACUCAUUCUUUAGCUUCAAGCAUAAUAAAAAUAUUAUUAUUAUUAUUUCACAUUAAAGUAUAGUGCAUUUCUAACUUCAGAAACUGUUAAGUAUUUAAUGAAAAAGACGAAAGCUGAUAAUAUAUUUUACACUUAAUAUAUUAUCAUGACUAAAGUUAGAAUUAGAAAUAUUUGUUUACUCUACCCUUCUCUUCCUCCAAAGAAGGAGGAUAAUUAAUAAGAAGAGAUUGAGCCUCAUUAAUCUGGAAUCCAAACCGCCACGCAUGUUCGCCGCUGACGCCACCCCUAUCCUGCCGUUGCCGCCGUGCCUGCCGCCGACGCCGCCCAAGCCGUUGCCACCGCCGGCACCGCCCAAGCCACCAGCACCAUUGUCACACAAGAAGUAAGAAAAAAAAAAGGAAAAAGUGAAAAGAAGAUGUAAUACACUGAACUCUUGCAAAUUGCGGAGUUCGAGUGUGCGGGAUGAAGUGUGGAUCUACCCUACAUGUUCUAAAUGACUUGGACAAGUUUUUGAUCAAGUUAGAGAGUGAUUGGAGGGUUAAAAGUGAGAAAGUGCAUUGCUCUGGCAAAAAUCAGGGUUUUCUGCUUGCUGUACCGGUACAGCCAUCACCUUGUACCUGUACAGCAUGGGCAGAUUCGUGGCAGCAAGGCUAUUUUGGUCUUUACACAUUUGAUACCUAUCUAUUUGAUCCCAGCACGACUCUGGGACUUCAGUGGAGUGUGCUAGAGUGUAGAGGAGCUUCCUCCACCUCCUCUCCCUCUCUCUCUCUAGGGUUUUUCUCUCUCUACAUAGAAUUCGUCGUUUUGCGCCGUUUCCGCGCCGCUCUUGUUGUUCGCUGAUUUGGCGACUUAAAGGAGGCUUACAGCACGUGGGAAAGAGGAGUUUUGCUGUAUUUUCUGUGAGUGUACUACCAGGGGAAGCUGAAUCUCAGCCUUAGAGAGGUAAUCAACUCGAUCUCUCUCUAGUUUACGGUUUAGUAUUGAAUUUAGACGCCUUGUUGUUUCCAACUAAGCUAGAAGUUGUUUACUGCAGUAAAGAGAUGUUAUUUUGAUUGUGAAUUACCUACUUUAGCUCAGAGAAACGUUGUUUUAAAGCUGCUGUAGAUAAUUAGUGACUUUUCGAAGCUAUACGCGGAUUAAUAAAGCGAAUUGAUGUAGUUUGGACUUGUUCCUUCGCAGCAGGUUCUCGAACUCCUUGGGGUUAAUUUGGGGAUCAGGGAGACUAGUUCGGAAGGUACUCCAACUAAGGGUAAGCUGGAAUUUCUGUGAGAAAACUGAAUUUACAAGAUUCCGACUAUAUCUAUUAGUAUUUGACGAUCUUGACGCCGUUUUGAUGCUGUUCGCAGCGAGAGGGUAUUUGACCCUUGGACCGCCUUCGAUUGGCAGUGGAGGGCCUUUUGGAAGCCUAAUUUGCGGUAUCAAACUAGCCCUAUAUAGGGAAUUAAAUUGCUACUCUGCUUUACGUGCGAAUUGUACCGGAAUUGGACAUUUCGGUUAUAGUAUUGACUCGACUCUCGUACCUAUUUUUUUUCAGCAGCAUUGGGGCUUCGUUGAGCCGAUUUUGGGACUUCCUUUGGAUUGUUUGGAGCUUAGUAAUAGGUGGGUUUGACCUAACCAGAGCAAGUGAAGCUCCCCUAUGUUCUAUAUGUAUUAUAGAAGUGGCCUAGUUAUAUGCUUAUGUGAUUGUUAAAGGGCUCGGAAGUCGUCAUCAGGACGUUUCUCAUAUGUGAAAUGAGCGUUUAUGCAUAAAAGUACUCAUGCAUUAAAGUAUUCUUGUUUAGUUCAGUAGAACAACCAAGAGAUCAGUUUAUUAUGUUUCUAUGAUAUAGAGAACAUAUAUACAUGAAAGUAUUUAUAUUUAUAUUCAAUUCAGUUGAAUGACUUAUGAACAAGUGAAGGAUGCACUUAGUGAAAAGAUUCUAAUGCCAGGUGUAAAUUAGCAUUACUCUUGCAUGCUUACUAAACUAGUGGAUUCUAGUUGUUGUUAAUAUUUGUUAUAUUGAAAUGCCGAUCGAGGAUCGAGACUGAGAACAUUGCAAAUGACAAUAUGGUAAUUGAGACAUGUGGACAAUGGAAAAUGCUUGCUUGCCAUCGUGCUCAUUCGCACACGCUUGUGAGGGUCGCUCCCUACAAGCCGGCACUCCGGAGUUGGCCUACGCGACAGUUGCUCGCCCGUGCGGGAUUGGGUGCCGAAGUGGACUGCCGUGGGGAGUGCAUAGUACCACGGGGCCAUUAGGCGCGGCGCAAGCUGGACUACCUUGAGUAGAUCCCUGUGAAUGAAAGAAAAGUGCGAAAGGAAGUUGGACAGUAAUGAAUGAUUAUCAGUUACAGUGUACAGUAGUACUUACACAUUUAUGCUUAUGUUCAUACUUAUAGUAGUUGCUAUGCUUCUAUUAUUCAGUUGAUUCAUUACUGUUGAGACUAUGAUUACAUGUUGCUUACAUCACUACAAGAAAAUAGAUCUAUAACGACUAAUAUUUAACGACGGGCGCAAUAAGUGGUCGCUAAAAGCAACCAAAUUAUAAUAAUUUUUUAUAUUGCUAUUUGGUAACCAAUAAUUAGCGACAAAAUAUUUUUUCCGUCGUUAUUAGUAGAUCGAUCCGUCGUUAAUUAAAAGGAUAUUUCGUCAGGUCUAAAAAUUUUAGCGAUGAAAUAUUUUUUUCUUCGUUGUUAAUAAACCGACUAAAAUUUUUAGCAAUAAAAUAUUUUUUUCGCCGUUGUUAAUAGACCGACAAAAAUUUUUCGCGAUGAAAUAUUUUUUUCAUCGUUGUUCAUAGAUGAAUUUGUCAAAAUAUUUUUUGAUGAAAUUCAAUAGCAAAUAUUUGGCGGCGACGUAUUUUUUCCGUCAUUGUUAGUAGUAGGGCUGAAUCUUCCAGCGAUGAAAUAUUUUUUUUUGCCGUUGUUAAUAGGCCGACUUGUUAUAAUUGGCGGGAGAAUGAAAUUUUCAUGGAUAUGCGAUUUUUUUUUUUUUUAGAAUCUAAAAACAAAAGAAUAUAUUGCUAAUUAAUUAACCCACUCUCAACACCCACCCCAUGAACCCCCGCCGACCUGUUGCAUGCCCUAAUUAAUUAAAGUUUCGCUCCCGCUCCCAACAACGCCGCUCGCCCUAAUUAAUUAAUUAACAUUCUUCUCUUCGCCUCGCGCUUCUUCUCCCAACAACGCCGGCCUCACCGCUCACUCGCCGGCCUCAUGCUUGGUGUUGCCGCCGGCCUCAAACCUCCGUCGUGUCGCUGAUCUCGUGCUCGCCGACGUCGCCCCAAAACUCCCCGACAUCGCUGCCGCCGUCGCCCAAACCUCCGACGUGUCGCUGAUUUCGCCAACACCCUCGCCCCGACACUAUUGCCCAAUAUUUGGUUGGCUUCUCUACUACUUCUAUUUUGAUUUUAUUAUUUAAUUUAUUUUUCUGUUUUUUUUUGGACUCUUAAAGAGAAAAGGUAAAGUGCACAGAAAAAAUACAGUUAAAUUGAAAAAUAGUUUUAAAAAGAAUGGAUAGAAUUUAAAGAAGUAUUUUUUAUUAUUAAUUAAGCUUCUUUCUCGAAUAGAAAGAAGAAUGCUAGAAACAUAGGGUCAUGUUGGGGUGGUACUUUUUAUUAAUUUAUUAAAGAACAUUGUCUCUAGUACAUGAAAAUUUAAAUAUAUAUAAGGUAUAGGCUCUACCUAUCACAUGUGUAGUGGGAUAAAUUUUAAAAGAAAAAUAAAAGAAGGUAGAUAAUGUUCACAAGGGACCCAUUGCACUAUUUUUAGUAAAUUAUAUAUAUAUGUAAGUUAUAGCAAUUUUUUUGAGAGACCCAUAUACUAUAUAUCUAAAUAAUUGCACCUUCUGAAGGAAUCCUUACACUGUCCAAUGAAAGAAUCAGAAUGCUUAUCUGAAAAGCCAAAGCUCAUACAACAUCUCAAAGAUUCUGGACCCAUUCCACCUCCAUCAUCUAAUUUACACAAUAUAUGGUCAAGCUAAGAAGUCAGUCAACUAAUGUAGGUCCUUCAAUUAAGUCUGGUUGGUUUAACUUGUUUCAACUAAACCUACUGAUUUGAAGUAAUUGAAAACAGAGAAGCUUGAUUCUUGCAAUUAAAGUAAUUUAAACAUAAUGGACUUGCAUUCUAUUUGAGCUCAAAAUUGUAAAUUCUAAACAACUUACUUGCAUUCCAUUUUUCUUUGUUGCAUUCCAAAACAUUUUUGAUUUCAUUUUAAAGUUUAUCUAGCAAUUAGUAUAUGGCUUUUUUUAUUGUCUCAUCUUUUUUUUAUUAUUAUAAAGCUUUUAUUUUUCUAAAUUGUAAAUGUAUUGUUUACAUUUAUUACAUAAAUCUAUUUUGUUUUUAUCCUCUUCAUCUAAUUGCAUACACUUAUUCAACAACGUUGUUUAGGUAAUCGCGAAGUUAUUUUGUUGUAGUCAUUAAUUGAUAUGAACCAAUGUUUUGUGUAGGGAGGCAAAGAUGGUAAUCCACCAAGCUUAGCGACAAUUUUUUUUGAGACUCGAAAAAAAGGUGGACAACUUGAAGGAGAUAAUACAAACAAGAAAUAUGUAAGUCUUUGCACUGACUUUUAUUAUAAUUGAUUCUAUUUGUACAUUCUUAUAUAACUAAUUUUGUAUAUUAAAUUUUAUUUUGAAGAAUGAAAUUCUUGAAGCCUCACAAUCACAACCGGAACUAUCCAAUAUAGAGCUCAUUGAAAAAUGCUUUGGAACUCAAUGUCGUCAACAUGUUGUUUGCUAUGGGGGUGGUGUGAAGCCGACUGAUUUGAAACCUUCUUACUCUUCUAGAGCUGAACUUAAUGCCAAACUCUGUGAAACUCAGAAGGAAAAUCAAUCACUUAGGAGUCGUAUGGAUGGAAUGGAGGCGGAACUACAAAAAAUUAAGGAAAUGCUCCAGCAACAUCAUAAUAUUUCUCCUCCACCUUCUCCAUCUNACCAAAAAAAAAAAAAAAAAACCACAGGGUACUAAAUUGAUAUUUUUUAAACCACAAGGUAUUAAAAUGUGAAAGUGCAAAACCAAAUGGUUGGUAUUUGAAGUUUAUCCAUAAAUAUAUAUAUUGUGCUUCUCCUAUAAAAUAUAACCUAGCUAAUUUUUUCAGAUCAUUGUUUCUAAACAACUGAUAUAAAUUAUAUUCUCUCCACUGAUGAUAUGGUGUUUUCUCCAGAAACCUAAAAAAGAGAUAAUAUUGUCAACUUCUUUUAGAGAGUGAAACAAUAUUAAAUUUAAACACUUGUGACUAUCAGAAUAAAUGAGUAUUAAUUAAUAACUAGUGUAGUAACCCGCGCGAUGUGGCGGAUAAAUAAUAAAAGAAAAAACAAAAAAUAUUGAAGAGGAAGAAUAAAGGAGUUUGGAAAAUAAAAAUUCAAGUGUAUUUUAUUUUUUUGGGUAGGGAAAUGUGUAAAUUGAACUAACAAAUAUGAUUAUGAAAAUCGACAAUCGCCUAGAAUCACCAUUCAAAAAAAAAAAAAACUACAAAGGUCGUAUGAAGAUGGAGAUGAUAAUGUUGCGAUGAUGACGACGAUGGCGAUGAAAAUCUCAUGGAAGUUUGCAGGAUUUUGCAUCCUUUUGGGCAUGGGAUGGUCAGAAGUUGCAGGCCAGAACUGCCACAUCAAUUAUAAAAUCAAAACUAACAUCUAAAUUAAUCAAAAUAGUAUAUAUAAAUCAAAUCCUUGAUUGUACAACCACCAUAUCAAAAAUAAUGCAAGUAAAUUAAAUUCUAAAUGGAUAUGUAGUAAGAAUUCGAGAUUAAAAUAAAGAAAAGAAAAAUUAGGUUUAGGAUUUUCGUUUCCCAAACCUAUCUCUCGAUCUGUCUAUUAUCGUUGUCCAAUUAGCUUCCUUCAUUGAAAAAAUCGUUCGAUUACUUUUUUUUUCCAUAAAUCCGAAGAGAUCGGUAUAGAUAGAAACCCCAGAAGCAUUCUCUUGAUCCGGGGGGGUUUGGGUCGAGUCAGAUUGGUACUGAUUAGGACUUGGAGGACUCCCUUACUCUUCCCCAUUCUCUAUAUCUGCAAGUAGUAACUAUUUAUCUUCUCUUUAAUUUUGCAUGUUAGAAAUUAUUUAAGGAAGAAGAAAGAACUAAUAUUGAAGAGGACAAACUCAUGAACGUACAAAUAAAUUAAAAAAUACAUUGAUUAUAGGUCAUAUUGAAUAGAGAGAAGGGGAGGGGAAAAGCCAAAAGUAAAGAUUAAUUCAAAAAAAAGAUUGGUGAGGGUGGAGGAAAACUUGCCAUGUGGCAAAAUCAUUGGGAAUUCAUAUAUGUUAUAGAUUAUAGAUAUAGAUUAUAGAUGUUAUAGAUGAUCAUAAAACAAUAUUAUGGCUCUUGUACUUAUAAUUGAAACAAGCUCUCUAGGUUUUAAAAAACUUUGACUAUAUAUCAUAAGUUUAUUAUGCAGCAAAUCUGGAUCGUGAUUAUUUUUUUAAAAUUUUUUGACAGUGAUAAGUUUAAUAAGUUAGGUAUAUUAUUACAUGGUAUUUUAUUUCAUAAAUAAAAUGAUGAAGCAAUCCCCGUCACCGACAAAUUAAUUUAGACAAAUUCAGCAUCUUCGCAAUUAUCAUAAUUUGUAUUGAUUUAAGAGCAUCUUCGCAAUUAUCAUAAUUUGUAUUGAUUUAAGAAACUAAAAUGUAUAAAACUCAUGAUAAUUCUUUUUUUCUACUCAAUGUGAGAAUAGUAUUAUUAAGAUGGUCGAUUUUGUACGCAUAUUUGAUUACCUAGCGUGUGUGAUAAAAAAGGUCGAAUAAAGUUAAGUUAGAUCUUAAUGAAACCAAAAGAGACCCAUACGAAACUAGAUUGAAAGGAUUAGACGAAACUGAAGGAGAACUCGACGCGAGAACAUAAAUAUGACUAAACAAACAGAAAGUAGGAUUGAAACGCUCAAACGAGUGAAGUAUGAAACAAAACUUGGUACCGUGCAAGCGAACUUGGACAACUCUCGAAGCUAAAGCUUUCAGAGAAAAAUGGUCGUCUCAUACAUAAUCGACAGAACCUUACAGUCCGAUUGGGUUAUUCGCUUUUCAAUCUCGUAUAUUUCAUUUUUCUCUAUUGAUAAGUAGAUUGAAUACCAUAGGGGGAUGUUGAUUUCUAAAGAAAACUCAUGAAUAUAUCUUUUCAAAAGGGUCCAUGACAUGUCCUAAUCAAGGAGUUAAUGAAACAACAGUGCUUGGUUUGUCCAUAACCUUAACCAAUUUUUAUUUUUUAAUUUACAAAUCUAUGUAAUCUCAUUAUAUACAUAAUGUCAAGCUUCUCAACCAAAUUUUAUUUUUUAAUUGUUUUAAUUUUUUUAGUUGUUUGUAUCAAAUGAGUAUGAUAGCUAGAAAUAUUGUUUCCAAUUAACGGUCGUCGUCUCGUANAUACAUUUAACGACGGGAUUUGAUCUCGUCGUUAAAUAUUUUUAGUGACGGAAAUUAAAGCCCUUCGUAAUAAGUUUUAGCGAAGGAAGAUUUAACGACGGAUGGCGACGGAAAUUUGUACGGUCAUUAAAAGUUAUUAGCGACCAAUAUGCUAGUUAUAACGACCACUAUUCCCUUCGUUAAAUAUCAUUUUUCUUGUAGUGAUAUAUAAAGUUGUUUAUUUUAACAAAAUCUCCAAUUCAAAUGACCGAAAUAUAUAACUUGAAUUAAAAUAAUUGAGAAUCAAAAGGGAAUGUUGCUUAAAAAAAUUUGAAGUUGAGGAAUCAAUUUUGCAGUUCCACCUCAUUAGCUCUACAAACUUCGCGGAGAUGCUAUAAUUAUGGAGAUUUAAGUACUUUUUUUUGUCGAAUUUGUACUAUAUUUGUACUCAAAGAAACUUUAGUUAACUUCGUACAAAUAUUUAUCUAACUGUUCUAAUAACAUUUUAUGAGACCUGUUAUUUUAACAACGUACCAUUACUGGGAUAUGUACAAGUAUGGAGAUAAGAAAAAUAGCGUUUGGAUGAAAAUUUGACUGUUUCUGGAAUAAGAAAAAUAGCGUUUGUAUAGAUAAUAUGGAAUAAGAAAAAUAAUAGAUAAUUAUAUAUAGAAAAUAUAGGUGUUGGUGGGAAUAGUUAUACCAGCUUAUUUCAGGUAUCCGAAAACUACUAUUUUCGGAUAAAAAAUUUGUGUCUGGGUAAAAAGGCGGGGAUAAGGGGUUAUCCCUCCCCUUAUCCCCGAUACAAACGGUGCCCUAGGUUAGCGCAACAGUUGUUAUAUAUCAGGAAUAACACUUAAGAGGUUGGUGAUGGAUUUGAUCGAUCCCACAUUUGUGUUUUGAAGAUAAGGCUCAAGUCUCUAGCUGGACUUUUGGGUACAUAAUUCGUGUACCCUUGAGCCAUUAUCUUAUUUAUUGGAUAAUUAAUGAUUAAUAUAGCUAUUUGUGUAGUUUUCGGAUUAGGGCUAUCAUUAAUAUGGCUAAUUAAUAUAGAGUAGUUUGUGAUUUCGGAUCGUCUCAAGAUCGCUGCAGCACUAGUAAAGAGAGCUUCUAGGAUACCUCAUUAAUAGUGCUGUAAGAAUUUUAAGACGAUUUAAUGAUUAAAAGGCACAAACAAAAAUGCUCCUGUGUUUUUAAAAGCAUAGGAGCUCAACUCUCUCUCUCUCUCUCUCUCUAUAGAUAGAGAGAGAGAGCAGGGCUGCUGUGCUCUCAGGAGCACGGAGGCCUUCGUGCUUCUGAACCGUUUUCGAUGAUGGAAUUUUCGAAUCGACGAUCGGCUCCGUUAGAUUUGAUCUAGAGUAUUUAAAGUUUCUAGAAAAUAAUUUUUGCGAUUUUUUGGUAUCAUUUACCUAGUAACCGAAAUGAUUCAAAAUCAAUAUUUUUUAAUGGUUGAUAUCUGCCGUUUUCAAGUUUAAAAGUGUAGAAGUAUUCAAAUCAGAUGAAAUUUUGAUACAAAAUUCUUUAUACUAUCUACAAAAAGAUUAAUAUUUUUGAUCGAAAAUUUUAAUGCUAUAUCAUCACUUUUUAUAGGAUUUUUAUUUUUAGCCGUUAAAAAUUAUUGAUUUUGAAUCCUUUCGAUUGCUAGGUAAAUAAUAUCAAAAAAUCGCAAAAAUUAAUUUUUUAAAAACUUCAAAUACGCUAGAUCAAGUCUAGCAAAGCCGAUCGUUGAUUCGAAAAUUCUAUCAUCAGAAACAGUUCAGGAGCACGGAAGCCUCCGUGCUUCCCUGCACCUGAGAGCACAUCAGUCCUGCUCUCUCUCUCUCUCUCUCUCUCUAUAGAUAGAGAGAGAGAGCAGGGCUGCUGUGCUCUCAGGAGCACGGAGGCCUUCGUGCUUCUGAACCGUUUUCGAUGAUGGAAUUUUCGAAUCGACGAUCGGCUCCGUUAGAUUUGAUCUAGAGUAUUUAAAGUUUCUAGAAAAUAAUUUUUGCGAUUUUUUGGUAUCAUUUACCUAGUAACCGAAAUGAUUCAAAAUCAAUAUUUUUUAAUGGUUGAUAUCUGCCGUUUUCAAGUUUAACGGUGUAGAAGUAUUCAAAUCAGAUGAAAUUUUAUACAAAAUUCUUUAUACUAUCUACAAAAAGAUUAAUAUUUUUGAUCGAAAAUUUUAAUGCUAUAUCAUCACUUUUUAUAGGAUUUUUAUUUUUAGCCGUUAAAAAUUAUUGAUUUUGAAUCCUUUCGAUUGCUAGGUAAAUAAUAUCAAAAAAUCGCAAAAAUUAUUUUUUAAAAACUUCAAAUACGCUAGAUCAAGUCUAGCAAAGCCGAUCGUUGAUUCGAAAAUUCUAUCAUCAGAAACAGUUCAGGAGCACGGAAGCCUCCGUGCUUCCCUGCACCUGAGAGCACAUCAGUCCUGCUCUCUCUCUCUCUCUCUCUCUCUAUAUAUAUAAGCUAAAGGAUUCUAGACAAUUUAAUGUUCAUUUUUUAUUCUAUUAGAUGAAGUUUUAGGAAAUAUUCAUGUAAAAUAAUAGUAAAGUUUAUGUAUUAAGUUUAUUUUAUUUAUAUCACAGCUUAGCUGAUGAUUUGGCACUAAUAUUCAGAUGAAUCAGACACAUUUCUUUACUUAGAAAAAAGAGAUCAUGUAAGUGGAAAGAACAAAAAAAACAUUAGUUGGAUUAAAGAUUAGGAAAAGAUGAAGAGCGGUGUAUGUAUGAACAUACACUAAAACUUCAUAUUCACAACUAGUAUUUAAUUAUAUAUUAAUUAUGUAUAAUAAUAUAUAUGGGAGAUUUAAAUACUUUUAACCCAAUAAUUUGUUGGUCCAAUGAUAAUUAGCCAUCUAAAAACUUAGAAAUUGAGGCAAUUAAAGCAUACAAAUCAAAAGCAGGAGGAGAUCGACAUGCCCACAGGAUAAGGAAGAAAAGUUUCCAGGUGGCAAAUGUGAUAAGUGAGUAAGUGACCAUUUGAUAGGGACCCAUGCAUGCAUAUAUAUAUAUAUAUAUAUAUAUAUAUAUAUAUAUAUAUAUAUAUAUAUAUAUAUAUAUAUAUAUAUAUAUAAGAGCGCGGUGUGAGGAGGAAGCUUGAGGAGGAAGAAGGGGGGAAAUGCUGGAGAGGGAGUAUUAAAUGGGGGAAUGGGGAUUAGGGUUAGGGUUUUGGAAUUUGAAAGUUUUGGCGCGAGNAAUAAAGCCCCUGGGCUCACGGGUUGGCAAUCCAACCACUUUUCCGGAAAAGAACACCCUCUUGCGGUGGAUCAGACCGCUGGUGUUCGUGAAAUGCGUACCUGCAGUGGCGAUCAAUGUAGUAUGCUCAAAGAUCAUCCAUCGGCAACUAGCCGACAAUCCAGCCCCUCAGGGCACACCGACCGUAUAGGCCAUCAGCAACUAAUCGGCUACGUAUGUCAAGAUAGAACUGUAGCAACUCGAUCGAAUAGGUCGUAGAUAUCAAAUGGGGAACCGCCCAACCAAAUCACAGAUAUAGAUAGAACAGAUAAGUCAACUCUACUCCUAAACAUGAUAUCAACAUGGAAAUAGCUGAGUAGAGAAAUGCAAAUAUAAAUGCAGGUGCAAGGCUCAAUAUGAUAUCAACAUAGGAGAACCGCCCAACCCAAAUCACAGAUAUAGUGAACAGAUAAGUCAACUCUACUCCUAAGCAUGAUAUCAACAUGGAAAUAACUGAGUAGAGGAAUGCAGAACAGACCAACUAGGUCAACAGAUACGGAAUGCACAGCAGACCAACUAGGUCAACAGAUACGGAUGCGGAUAGAACUACUCUACUCCUACUCAGGAUACUAAGCAUGCAAACAACGAGUAGAGUAUAAUCAAACAACAUGGUGCUAGGCUCAACACUAUAUAUCAAGAUAUAUAUAUGCUAAAUAAUAACGAAAGAGCAAAGGUAAGAAACCAUCACCGAGCGUGCACCACUGUACCAACGUCGGAUCGAAGUACCCACCUGUACAACUGUCGCGCCUGUCUCCUGACUGUAAAAGAAUGUCAACCGGACCUACAGAGGGUCCACCGGGUUAGUAUCUAACCCUCAGCUAAGAAACCCUAAAAGCAAAACCCCACAAAUAAACCCACGGAGAAUCGGUUUCCUGAACCGAUCGUCGUAAUACGCCGGAAGUCCCGAAAACCACACCGGGACGCCGUCGGGACCCACUAAGUGUCCCGAAACUCACCGACUCGUGUCACGAGUCAUCUGCUGCUCCAAAACACUCCAAUUUGGAUGUUUUGGCAGCAAACACAAGAUAACAACACUACACAACUAUCACCGGAUAGUUGUACGAAUCCGGGUUCCCGGAAGUGUCUAUUUCGACACCGGAACCCACCGUCGCUCACCCAUCAUCACCGAACCCACAAUGUAAUGAUGGUGACCAGCCAACAAGGCUCAGCGACUACACAAUAGCUCACGAAGCACCGUCGGAAUAAUUCCGAACCAAAACCGCGUUCCGUCGGCGGAUUUUGCCGACAAACGCACCGGAAAUACAUUUUCGAUCUUCUCAAAGGUCUGGGGCCUUGGAUAAUCAGUCCAGAGGUCACCCACAGCCUACCCAUGCUGCCAACAGCAGCCGCAACAACCAGAAUUGCAUAAAAGCCCUCCCGAUUCCAAGAAAUCACAUUAUUUCAUGUGUUUUUCGGGCUUUUAUUGUCCGUCUACGCAAACCAGAGGUCAAUUAAUCAGACUGUCAUACUCGCCGACAGAUUUCAGCAUGACGGAGGCCGUGCUCACCUUUCGGAGCACUGCCGGCUGCUGCGGUGCGCGUACGAACGGUGCGAAGAUCUGUUAAACUGCGCGCACAGCGCGAAGAUCGCGACUAACUAAAUAACCAGGGCAUCUUUGCCGCUGUCGGAGGUGAGCACGAUGUUCAGCACGAACCCUAGAUCAUCGUGCUCACUUCCCGGGGUGUCGGGGACUCGUCGGAUCACCGGAAAGGUGGCCGGAACGCUAAAUUACUGUGCUGGAAUGUAAAAACAGCCUUACCAGUGCAGUGGGAGCUAGGGAUGGUCGCCGGCGGCCGGGAAGCGGGCGGUCCGGCCGGAGGAGGGAGCACUCGGUCCGGGAGGUCCGGGGAUGGUGAUGGCCGGCGGCGGGCGGCAACCGGUGGCGCGGCGGCAGAGAUCCACGCCACCCACUCUCUCUCGGGUUUGCUCUUCCCGGCGGCGCGGCGGCGGCCGGAGGAGGUCGGGACGGGGACGAACCGGCGGCGGAGGCCGAGGGUAAGGCGGUGCACCCCUCGGUGGGCGGCGGCGAAACGUGGAAGCCGAGCGGGCCCAACCUCGGCCCGCACAGGUCUGGGCGGCCGCAGGUUGUCCCAGCGGCGGCCGGCGGCGCGCGGGGACGACGGGGGACGGCGGGGAAGGGCGCCGGAGCUUGGUCUCGGCCUGGGGGAGAUGGUGCUCGGGCUUUGACGUUCCCCCGAGCACAACGAUCGAAGACGCGGCUUGUCCGGGCUAGAGGGGAAUCGAGAGAUGACCGGGGUGCCUUUUUUCGGCGGCCGGAGCUGCUCGUCGGCGGCCGGGGCGUGCGCACUGAUUGGGCAGGGAGGAGGUGGGGCGGCUAGGGUUAGUCAGGUGAUUAUGGCAGCCAAAAGAAUAAUGGGAAACCCUAGAUGCCCGAUUUAUGCCAAGUGUCACUUUGCGAGGAACCCCUCCAAAGUCUAUUAUUUACAAUCCAGCCCCCUGCCAGCAAGUGAAUUAUGCACACAAGACCCUCCACAUUCGAUAUCACGCGAAAUGACACAUAAAAUAUAGGGUCUUUCCGCGAUUUAUCCGUUUAGCCGCUUUGACCCCUCAACGAACAUUUUGUAACUCCCGGAGAUCCGUUCGUCGGAUUUUUGAUCCGACCGCACCAUUGCAUUCAGCAUGUCGGAUUUUUGUUUCGUCCGAUUUGGUCACGGAUUCACGACGAAACCCAUCCGCUCUCUAAUUAAUCCGUAUAUCGCACAUAUACCCAAGCAUAAACUCUAAAACCUUUAAUUCAAAUUCAAAUUUGAAUUCCCUACCACCAGUAGGUAUCAGAAACAACUCUCACCUAACCCCAGGUCACAAGCACAGAGCAUGCGGAGCUUUAAAACGCACGAAUAGCAAAGAGCGGGAACCCUCUUUUUGAUAAAAUUCCUUUUUCUCGAUAACCGUGCAUCAGAAUCCGAUUCUGUCAGCGCCAAUGGUUCCAGUAUAGUCGAG